This 251-nucleotide ribosomal RNA is filed under the name uncultured prokaryote. RNAcentral's name for it is "partial 16S ribosomal RNA". It matches the Rfam family "Bacterial small subunit ribosomal RNA", at positions 525 to 775 of the family's 1533-position model. The record is from RNAcentral.
ACGUAGGGUGCGAGCGUUAAUCGGAAUUACUGGGCGUAAAGCGUGCGCAGGCGGUGAUGUAAGACAGUUGUGAAAUCCCCGGGCUCAACCUGGGAAUUGCAUCUGUGACUGCAUCGCUAGAGUACGGUAGAGGGGGAUGGAAUUCCGCGUGUAGCAGUGAAAUGCGUAGAUAUGCGGAGGAACACCGAUGGCGAAGGCAAUCCCCUGGACCUGUACUGACGCUCAUGCACGAAAGCGUGGGGAGCAAACAG